CGUAUUCCGCACGAACGAGAGAGCACACCCUUCACACGGGUGGGGUCGCAGGUUCAAUCCCUGCAUCGGCCA
This 72-nucleotide transfer RNA is filed under the name Mesorhizobium sp. L103C120A0. Its description in RNAcentral is "tRNA-Val". The record is from RNAcentral. Lineage: Bacteria; Pseudomonadati; Pseudomonadota; Alphaproteobacteria; Hyphomicrobiales; Phyllobacteriaceae.